RNAcentral lists this transfer RNA (72 nucleotides) under Morchella conica CCBAS932. It matches the Rfam family "tRNA". Rfam says of the family: Transfer RNA (tRNA) molecules are approximately 80 nucleotides in length. Their secondary structure includes four short double-helical elements and three loops (D, anti-codon, and T loops). Lineage: Eukaryota; Fungi; Ascomycota; Pezizomycetes; Pezizales; Morchellaceae. The record is from Rfam by way of RNAcentral.
GACUCCGUAGCACAACGGUAGCGCAUUCAACUCCAGAUCAAAAGGCUGCGUGUUCAAAUCACGUCGGGGUCA